This 448-nucleotide ribosomal RNA is filed under the name uncultured bacterium. Its description in RNAcentral is "bacterial SSU rRNA". It matches the Rfam family "Bacterial small subunit ribosomal RNA", at positions 335 to 799 of the family's 1533-position model. The record is from RNAcentral.
ACUCCUACGGGAGGCAGCAGUGGGGAAUCUUGGACAAUGGGGGCGAACCCUGAUCCAGCCAUGCCGCGUGAGUGAUGAAGGCCUUAGGUCGUAAAGCUCUUUCGCCUGUGAAGAUAAUGACGGUAGCAGGUAAAGAAACCCCGGCUAACUCCGUGCCAGCAGCCGCGGUAAUACGGAGGGGUUAGCGUUGUUCGGAAUUACUGGGGCGUAAAGCGCACGUAGGCGGAUCGGAAAGUUGGGGGUGAAAUCCCGGGGCUCAACCCCGGAACGGCCUCCAAAACUAUCGGUCUAGAGUUCGAGAGAGGUGAGUGGAAUUCCGAGUGUAGAGGUGAAAUUCGUAGAUAUUCGGAGGAACACCAGUGGCGAAGGCGGCUCACUGGCUCGAUACUGACGCUGAGGUGCGAAAGUGUGGGGAGCAAACAGGAUUAGAUACCCUGGUAGGACAGUG